CUUCAACUCUGGGUUUUUGUUGUUUUUUGUUUUUCACCCUAGGGGAAAAUUCACCACUGAGCUCAAGCAUUGCAAGACAUUCUGUUCUAAGGAGGGAUGAGGACAAAUCCUCGACUGUCCCCAACAGUUGCACAGGGCACUGCAUUCUCAGCACAUCUACAGUUAUCCUGAGAACUACAAGCAGGAGGUGAAAGAGCUGAGUCAGCCAAGGUCAUCUGGGGACCUACCCUCCUGCAGGUACAGGGACCAACUUUGAUGCAUAAACUGAGAGAAUCCCUGGAAGAGAUCCACAAGAUGCGCAAAGAUCACAAGGCAGACCGUCAAACUGAUUUUAAAAGAAUGCACUGAAGCCAAGGUCCUGUACAUCAUCAAGCGUGGCUCAUGGAAAGAAGGAACAAUGACCACAUUCACCAAAAGGGUAUCUCCAUGGACAAGUUCUGUGAAUGCAUCUGCCCCCAAAACAUUCUACAUUGCUCGGAUUAGCCUCAAGAAAGUGGGACCUAAAUGGGGCAGAGGAGCCUCUCGCUGUGGCCACCACUGCCUUCAGCCCAUAAGUGAGUUUUUCCAGGCUACCUCCGAUGAUCACUUAAAGCUCAGCGGCUCUUCAUUCAGCUUGUGUUUAUCCUUCGAAGGGAAGAGAUCUCAUCCUUGUGCUCACUGCUGAAUCCCCAGAGUCCUUCAUACAACCUCACUAUUAGUAGAACUUAAUACAUACUUGUUGAUAAAGAAAGGAAUCGAUGAAUGAAUGGACCAAGACGCCUUCUAAUACCAAGUCUCUAUAGCUUCUCAUGAGUAUGCCUGUACUUUUACAACCUAAAAAUACAUCGCUUUAAGGUUUAAAUAUAGUCUAAGGAUUUUAUGUAUGCUUUAGAUAUUUUAUCAUAAUUCAAGAAACCAAGUUGUUAGGAAUGGCCUUCUGACAUAUGUGUUUUAAUCUUUAUCAAAUUUCUGUUAAUAUAGUCUAAAUGAAACUCUAUUUCUCUUUCUUUGUAGUUUAUUUCCAAACAGAUUUUAGAUAAAUAAUAUAAAACAGUGCUGUCUUACUAAACGGAAAGAUAAGCAUCUUUCUUUGGACUGAUGAUGUCUUGCCAUCACAUUCCCAACAGCAUCCUAAAAACCAAGUGAUACUGCUUGCAAUUUCUGUUAAGAAGAGUAGGUCAAACAAAGCCAAAAUCAUUGUCUUGGAAGAUAUGUUUUGGCACUCAAUGGAUAAUUGUGAAAAUAGUGUGUUUACUAGGUUUACUCAUUUACCUAGUUAGCAUGAAUGUUGCAACUAACUUAACCGAAAUUCUGAUUGGGUUAGAAUUUGGUUUGUUUUUGUCAGUGGCAUAUGGGGGUUGGGAGGACAGUAGGAGACAUCCAUUCUUGAAGGGAGGAAUCUUUUAACACUGACAUCAUUUAAAAUUCCUGCAUAUAGUAUUAAUAACAAGCAGGGUGAAUUCUAGUCAGUUUUAUUGUUGCUUAAAAUUCUUUACAAAAACUAUACUGCCUCAUUUCACAUAUCAAAGGCAGACUGCUCUCAAGAUACCUCCCUUCCCUUUUAUUGCUAAGGCAGUUGUUUGAAUAAGAGAUUUCUUUCUAUAUAUAUCAAUCUUAUAUAUAACAUUUAAAACACAUAAAAUGUAUACAUAUAUACGUCUUAUUAAUUGGGUAUCCAUCAAGAGAUUUCAUAUAAUGCAAGCAAGAACUAAUAUAUCUGAAAUAAUUACCACAAAUAAUUAAUAUUGCUAAAAGUGUAUUUUAUGCAGAGUUAAUAAAUCAAGACAGAGGCUUGCUUUCCUAACUGUGAAGGACAGGUGCACUGAGUAUGUGUGAAUAUAUCAUAUAUAUUACAUAUCACACUUAUAGUUUACAUUUUAUAUAAUAUAGUAGGUCUAAAUAUAUCAUAUGUAUUACAUGUCAUACUUUUAGUUUACAUUUUAUAUAAUAUAGUAGGUCUUAAUAUAUCAUAUACAUUACAUA
Molecule: long non-coding RNA, 1962 nt
Organism: Papio anubis (olive baboon)
Lineage: Eukaryota; Metazoa; Chordata; Mammalia; Primates; Cercopithecidae
Source: Ensembl